Molecule: ribosomal RNA, 388 nt
Filed under: Colpodella sp.
Lineage: Eukaryota; Colpodellaceae
Description: bacterial SSU rRNA
Rfam family: Eukaryotic small subunit ribosomal RNA
Source: RNAcentral
AGGUAGUGACAAGAAAUAGCAGCACGGGGUUUUACCUUGUGAUUGCAAUGAGUUGAUGUUAAAUCUCUCUUCGAGUAACAAUUGGAGGGCAAGUCUGGUGCCAGCAGCCGCGGUAAUUCCAGCUCCAAUAGCGUAUAUUAAAGUUGUUGCAGUUAAAAAGCUCGUAGUUGGAUUUCUGUCUUUUGACGGCCCGUGGAGCUUUCCAUUGAGGUAGUCGGGGACAUUUUCUAGGCAGGCUGUGAAAACAGAAUGUCCUAGAGCCUUUACUUUGAGAAAAUUAGAGUGUUUCAAGCAAGCGUUUGCUUUGAGUACUACAGCAUGGAAUAAUAUUAUAGGACUUCUAUCCUAUUUGUUGGUUUAAGGACUGAAGUAAUGAUUAAUAGAAACA